UAAGCGACUAUACUGUGAAACUGCGAAUGGCUCAUUAAAUCAGUUAUGGUUUAUUUGAUGGUACCUACUACUUGGAUAACCGUAGUAAUUCUAGAGCUAAUACAUGCAGGAAGACCCGACUUCGGAAGGGUUGUAUUUAUUAGAUAAGAAACCAAUCCAGCUUGCUGGUUGCGUGCCGAGUCACAAUAACUGCUCGAAUCGCACGGCUUUACGCCGGCGAUGGUUCAUUCAAAUUUCUGCCCUAUCAGCUUUCGAUGGUAGGAUCGAGGCCUACCAUGGCGUUUACGGGUAACGGAGAAUUAGGGUUCGAUUCCGGAGAGGGAGCCUGAGAGAUGGCUACCACAUCCAAGGAAGGCAGCAGGCGCGUAAAUUGCCCGAAUCCUGACACAGGGAGGUAGUGACAAGAAAUAACAAUACAGGGCUACAUCUAGUCUUGUAAUUGGAAUGAGUACAAUUUACAUCUCUUCACGAGGAUCAAUUGGAGGGCAAGUCUGGUGCCAGCAGCCGCGGUAAUUCCAGCUCCAAUAGCGUAUAUUAAAGUUGUUGCAGUUAGAACGCUCGUAGUCGGAUUUCGGGGCGGGUCGACCGGUCUGCCGAUGGGUACGCACUGGUCGACGCGUCCUUCCUUCCGGAGACCGUGCCUACUCUUAACUGAGCGGGGGCGGGAGACGGAACGUUUACUUUGAAAAAAUCAGAGUGUUUCAAGCAGGCAGCUCGCUCUUGCAUGGAUUAGCAUGGGAUAAUGAAAUAGGACUUUGGUGCUAUUUUGUUGGUUUCGAACACCGAAGUAAUGAUGAGAAGGGACAGU
This 808-nucleotide ribosomal RNA is filed under the name uncultured Chrysochromulina. RNAcentral's name for it is "SSU rRNA". It matches the Rfam family "Eukaryotic small subunit ribosomal RNA", at positions 66 to 882 of the family's 1831-position model. The record is from RNAcentral. Lineage: Eukaryota; Haptophyta; Prymnesiales; Chrysochromulinaceae.